GGGCAACUAGCUCAGCUGGUUAGAGCGUCUCCUUUACACGGAGAAGGUCGCUGGUUCGAGUCCAGCGUUGCCCA
RNAcentral lists this transfer RNA (74 nucleotides) under Chloroflexota bacterium. Its description in RNAcentral is "Chloroflexi bacterium (soil metagenome) tRNA-Val". It matches the Rfam family "tRNA". Rfam says of the family: Transfer RNA (tRNA) molecules are approximately 80 nucleotides in length. Their secondary structure includes four short double-helical elements and three loops (D, anti-codon, and T loops). Lineage: Bacteria; Bacillati; Chloroflexota. RNAcentral also lists the same sequence under 2 other names. The record is from RNAcentral.